Molecule: long non-coding RNA, 411 nt
Filed under: Homo sapiens (human)
Lineage: Eukaryota; Metazoa; Chordata; Mammalia; Primates; Hominidae
Description: non-protein coding lnc-CCDC7-15:1
Source: RNAcentral
UUUUUUUUUUUUUGAGACAGUGUCUCCUUCUGUUGCCCAGGCUGGACAAUACUCCGUCUUUAAAAAAAAAAAAAAAAGCCUGCACCGGGACCCAGUCUCUCUCCAGACAAUCCGUAGCCCUUAACUGUGCUGCUGGGAACCAGAGGCCCCAAAAUUCAAAAUCAGGUGCCUCUGAUUAAGCUAGAGGGAGUGAGGAGGAGCGGAUGUGGCCAGAUUCUCUGAAUGUGGACAUGCAGGCACCCACUCCAACACCCAGGGAGUGGCUGUCUUAAGUGCUUUCUGAAAGGUUGUCAUCCAGACAAACCACCCACUUCAGCAGUUAUUGAAAUUGCCCCUUUCACUCUCUCUUUGCUGAAUUUUUGCUGAUCUCUUCUCCAUAUGACCUACUGUGGGUCACAGACGCUUCUCAGG